CUAAGGCUAAAUACCGGCACGAGACCGA
This 28-nucleotide non-coding RNA is filed under the name Xenopus tropicalis (tropical clawed frog). RNAcentral also lists the same sequence under 6 other names. Lineage: Eukaryota; Metazoa; Chordata; Amphibia; Anura; Pipidae. The record is from RNAcentral.